This 634-nucleotide ribosomal RNA is filed under the name uncultured fungus. RNAcentral's name for it is "eukaryotic LSU rRNA". It matches the Rfam family "Eukaryotic large subunit ribosomal RNA", at positions 24 to 664 of the family's 3401-position model. The record is from RNAcentral. Lineage: Eukaryota; Fungi.
CCCGCUGAACUUAAGCAUAUCAAUAAGCGGAGGAAAAGAAACUAACAAGGAUUCCCCUAGUAACUGCGAGUGAAGCGGGAAAAGCUCAAAUUUAAAAUCUGGCGGUCUUGCGGCCGUCCGAGUUGUAAUCUGGAGAAGCGUUUAUCCGCGUCGGACCGUGUACAAGUCUUCUGGAAGGGAGCGUCAUAGAGGGUGAGAAUCCCGUCUCUGACAUGGACAACCGAUGCUUUUGUGAUACGCUCUCGAAGAGUCGAGUUGUUUGGGAAUGCAGCUCAAAAUGGGUGGUAAAUUCCAUCUAAAGCUAAAUAUUGGCGAGAGACCGAUAGCGAACAAGUACCGUGAGGGAAAGAUGAAAAGCACUUUGGAAAGAGAGUUAAACAGUACGUGAAAUUGUUGAAAGGGAAACGCUUGAAGUCAGUCGCGCCCGCCGGGACUCAGCCUUGCUUCUGCUUGGUGCACUUCCCGGCUGGGCGGGCCAGCAUCGUUUUCCGCGCCGGACAAACCCGUGAGGAAUGUGGCAGCUCCGGCUGUGUUAUAGCCUCGCGCGGCACAACGGCGCAGGGGAACGAGGAAUCCGGGCGCAAGCCCUGGGAUGCUGGCGUAAUGGCUUUAAGCGACCCGUCUUGAAACACGG